Molecule: ribosomal RNA, 468 nt
Filed under: uncultured bacterium
Lineage: Bacteria
Description: partial 16S ribosomal RNA
Rfam family: Bacterial small subunit ribosomal RNA
Source: RNAcentral
GACGAACGCUGGCGGCGUGCUUAACACAUGCAAGUCGAACGGAAAGGCCCUGCUUUUGUGGGGUGCUCGAGUGGCGAACGGGUGAGUAACACGUGAGUAACCUGCCCUUGACUUUGGGAUAACUUCAGGAAACUGGGGCUAAUACCGGAUAGGAGCUCCUGCUGCAUGGUGGGGGUUGGAAAGUUUCGGCGGUUGGGGAUGGACUCGCGGCUUAUCAGCUUGUUGGUGGGGUAGUGGCUUACCAAGGCUUUGACGGGUAGCCGGCCUGAGAGGGUGACCGGCCACAUUGGGACUAAGAUAGGGCCCAGACUCCUACGGGAGGCAGCAGUGGGGAAUAUUGCACAAUGGGCGGAAGCCUGAUGCAGCAACGCCGCGUGCGGGAUGACGGCCUUCUGGUUGUAAACCGCUUUCGCCUGUGACGAAGCGUGAGUGACGGUAAUGGGUAAAGAAGCACCGGCUAACUACGUG